RNAcentral lists this long non-coding RNA (689 nucleotides) under Homo sapiens (human). RNAcentral's name for it is "HSALNT0264551". The record is from RNAcentral. Lineage: Eukaryota; Metazoa; Chordata; Mammalia; Primates; Hominidae.
CUGCUGCCUACCACAGCUGGGUUCAGCUGGUUCGUUUCCUCAGACAGCUGGGGCUUGUUUUCAUGAUGUUCUCAUGGAGUCAUGAGAAAAGAAGCAGAAACACCCAAAGCUGCUUGAAGAUUAGGCUCAGAACAAGUAUGACAUCACCUUCUCUGCACUCUGCUGGCCAAAGCAAUUCCUGAAACCAACACAGAUUCAAGGUGUGGGGAAAUAGGUUCUCUCCUUGACAGGAAAUGUUGCAGGGUCACAUUCAAAAGGACCUGAAUACAGGGGCUGGGGGCGCUGAGGAACGGAGGCCACUAAUACAAUCAAACCAGUUGAUUUUAUCAGCAGAUUGUUUCUCUUACUUUGUACCCUCAAAGCAUUCACCCAGCUAGUAGCUAUUCCCCUCAUAACUUGAAGCUUCUUUUUCCACUCACUGUGACUCUACACAAUGCUAUUUCUGUUGGAUUCUUGGGGCUGUUGAUGUCCACAAACAUCAGUGUUUUCCAUUGGAGUACCAUUGUUAUUUGAGCAGAGAAAAUUCUUCAUUUAUAUGAAACUAUUGCUUGGGUGGCAAGGAAUUUGACUUCCCUGACUCCUGCCCUCUAAAUGCCAAUAACACUUCCCAGUUUGAAAAUGCUCCAACAGGGAGGGAGGCUUCAAAUAAGCAAGUGGAGAGGGCUAGAAUGAUCCAUGUGACAUCAGCA